This is a long non-coding RNA of Grammomys surdaster, 718 nucleotides long. RefSeq lists it as uncharacterized. The record is from RefSeq and is a predicted model, not a curated record. The transcript has 3 exons. NCBI's taxonomy places the organism in Eukaryota, Metazoa, Chordata, Mammalia, Rodentia, Muridae.
CAAUCACAGAGCUGAAGAACUCACAAAUGCCUGUUACUCUGACUCCAGGGACUGGGCACUCUCUUCUGGAUUCUGACUAUAUGUAUACAUAUGUACAUACUCACACAUAGGUCCCCAGCCCAGGUGACGGUGCCACACAUAGUCGGUGUGGGGCUCUGGUCACAGCUGCCUGAGAUGUAAAGGAGAGCACUAAAGGGACGAGUGAGGGAUCUCAAGGGGCUGUGACUCACUAGCAUCUGCCUCUCAAGGACAAGCGAGACAGUUUGUCUCACAUACCACACCAUGUCCUGGGAAGAUGCCAUCGUGGGUAUCAAAAGUGACUGCUUGUGAGCAAGAGAAAAUGAAUUUCAAUCACAGAAACAACCCAAAGACACCUAUGUACUAUUGACAGCAACUUGACGUCUUACUAUGCUAAUGUCAGGACAGCUCAUGAGUACGCAGAUAUUUCCCUGGUCAUAGGGCUCGUCAGCAUGGUGUGGGAUAGCACAGUUGACAGAGGUUGUAAUGUCAACUUAACAUCAUGGACUAGUCAAGGCCACCUUAAUGCAAAGUUAGCAUGAUGGACUCAGAGACGGAACGAUCCCCAUCGAGCUUGCAAAUCCAAGACACAGUGACUUAGUGGCCCAGAAGAAACAAGGAUUUCCUGCUAAGCCAGGACUCCCAGCCAAAGCUGACCACCCACUGUCAUCCACUGUCUUGGGAGAAAGAACAAGUCCUU